RNAcentral lists this ribosomal RNA (461 nucleotides) under Eocyzicus breviantennus. RNAcentral describes it as "partial large subunit ribosomal RNA". It matches the Rfam family "Bacterial large subunit ribosomal RNA", at positions 1854 to 2578 of the family's 2925-position model. The record is from RNAcentral. Lineage: Eukaryota; Metazoa; Arthropoda; Branchiopoda; Diplostraca; Eocyzicidae.
AAGACCUGCCCAAUGUUUUAAUCAAUGGCCGCGGUAUUCUGACCGUGCGAAGGUAGCAUAAUCAUUAGUCUCUUAAUUAGAGGCUGGUAUGAACGGUUCAACGAGAAAGUAUCUGUCUCUUAUAUAAAAUUUGAAUUUUAUUUUUAGGUGAAAAAGCCUAAAUUCCUCUGGAGGACGAUAAGACCCUAUAGAGCUUCAUUUAUUUUAUAUUUUUCAGACCUAGUAUUUAUGAAAAUAAAUAAAAGAAUAAAUUUUGUUGGGGCGACAAAAAGACAAUACUUAACUCUUUCUUCUAUUAACAGAAAAAACUGAAAAAUUGAUCCUUAAAGAAAGAUCAUAUGAACAAGUUACCUUAGGGAUAACAGCGUAAUCCUUUUUGAGAGUUCACAUCGACAAAAGGGUUUGCGACCUCGAUGUUGGAUUAAGAAUUUGCUAAGGUGUAGCAGCUUUAGUAAAAGGUC